GUCUAGCCCAGAUUGAAAUGACAUCCUUUUUUCUUUUUCAGAAAAAAGAUAUAAUGGAAAGCUGGAAAAAGC
Molecule: non-coding RNA, 72 nt
Filed under: unclassified sequences
Also listed under: 1 other name
Description: Flavo-1 RNA
Rfam family: Flavo-1 RNA
Source: RNAcentral